RNAcentral lists this microRNA (21 nucleotides) under Populus trichocarpa (black cottonwood). RNAcentral's name for it is "MIR180". The record is from RNAcentral. Lineage: Eukaryota; Viridiplantae; Streptophyta; Magnoliopsida; Malpighiales; Salicaceae.
UCAAACAUAAAGUCAAAGGAC